UGAUCCGUAGCUCAACGGUAGAGUAGGACACUCAUAAUGUCACGAUCAGAGUUCAAUUCUCUGCGGAUCAA
This 71-nucleotide transfer RNA is filed under the name Candidatus Peregrinibacteria bacterium. Its description in RNAcentral is "tRNA-Ile". It matches the Rfam family "tRNA". Rfam says of the family: Transfer RNA (tRNA) molecules are approximately 80 nucleotides in length. Their secondary structure includes four short double-helical elements and three loops (D, anti-codon, and T loops). RNAcentral also lists the same sequence under 1 other name. Lineage: Bacteria; Candidatus Peregrinibacteriota. The record is from RNAcentral.